This 686-nucleotide long non-coding RNA is filed under the name Homo sapiens (human). RNAcentral's name for it is "long non-coding RNA NONHSAT249227". Lineage: Eukaryota; Metazoa; Chordata; Mammalia; Primates; Hominidae. The record is from RNAcentral.
UUUUAUGUCGUUUUUGUUACUAAACAUAACGUUUGUGAGAUUCAUCCAUAUUGUGCAUAGUUGUAGUUUCUUGACAUUUGGUCUCAUUGUUCUACAAUAUUCUGUUGUUUAAAUAUGUGAUUUUUCUAUCCAUUCUACUGAAGAGGACAUUUGGGUUGGUUUGGUUUGUGACCAUGUGCGUAGUGUUGCUGUGAACAUUCUUGCACAUGCCAGAUCUUAUUUUAAAAGUCUGAUGCAGGGCUUCCCAUCAGUGGUCUAGCCCUCUUUAUGAGGAAGAUGGUUCACUCCCAAGAUUAACAUUUUUGGAGUUAUGAUACCCCAUUUUUAUUUCAUUAGAGCACCUACUCCUCCCAAAAUGAUGUAUAGCAUAAAUCUUUCUUGAUACAAAUUAACCUAGUUUAAAGGCAUGGCAAUGUCAUCAGCAUCUACUCAUCUCUGUGUGACCACAGCACCUUGUCCCGUGCUCUGCACAAAGAAAGCGUUUAUAACACUUGCUUAGUUGAAUUGUUUAAGAACAAGUCCCCACAUCCCCACCACCUCCACAAGUCUUCAUCUUCCCCAAGCAAAAUACCAUAGCUCUCUUAACCAUUCUUUACAGCAGUGGUACUCAAUUCUUUUGUUCUAGUAUUUCCAGGGCAAAAUAAUUUUUUAAAACUCUACACCCAUCCACAUUUUUAAGCUGGCAU